This 253-nucleotide ribosomal RNA is filed under the name uncultured bacterium. Its description in RNAcentral is "partial 16S ribosomal RNA". It matches the Rfam family "Bacterial small subunit ribosomal RNA", at positions 524 to 776 of the family's 1533-position model. The record is from RNAcentral.
UACAGAGGAUGCAAGCGUUAUCCGGAAUUACUGGGCGUAAAGCGUGCGCAGGCGGCUUGCCAAGUCAGAUGUGAAAGCCCCGGGCUCAACCCGGGAACUGCGUUUGAAACUGGCAGGCUAGAGUUUGGCAGAGGGGGGUGGAAUUCCACGUGUAGCAGUGAAAUGCGUAGAGAUGUGGAGGAACACCGAUGGCGAAGGCAGCCCCCUGGGCCAAAACUGACGCUCAGGCACGAAAGCGUGGGGAGCAAACAGG